Molecule: transfer RNA, 57 nt
Filed under: Gammaproteobacteria bacterium
Lineage: Bacteria; Pseudomonadati; Pseudomonadota; Gammaproteobacteria
Description: tRNA-Leu
Rfam family: tRNA
About the family: Transfer RNA (tRNA) molecules are approximately 80 nucleotides in length. Their secondary structure includes four short double-helical elements and three loops (D, anti-codon, and T loops).
Source: RNAcentral
UAGAGCGCACCCCUGAUAAGGGUGAGGUCGGUGGUUCAAAUCCACCCAGACCCACCA